UACGUAGGGUGCGAGCGUUGUCCGGAAUUAUUGGGCGUAAAGAGCUCGUAGGCGGCUUGUCGCGUCGGAUGUGAAAGCCCGGGGCUUAACUCCGGGUCUGCAUUCGAUACGGGCAGGCUAGAGUUCGGUAGGGGAGAUCGGAAUUCCUGGUGUAGCGGUGAAAUGCGCAGAUAUCAGGAGGAACACCGGUGGCGAAGGCGGAUCUCUGGGCCGAUACUGACGCUGAGGAGAAAGCGUGGGGAGCGAACAGG
RNAcentral lists this ribosomal RNA (251 nucleotides) under uncultured bacterium. RNAcentral describes it as "partial 16S ribosomal RNA". It matches the Rfam family "Bacterial small subunit ribosomal RNA", at positions 524 to 776 of the family's 1533-position model. The record is from RNAcentral.